RNAcentral lists this ribosomal RNA (254 nucleotides) under uncultured bacterium. Its description in RNAcentral is "partial 16S ribosomal RNA". It matches the Rfam family "Bacterial small subunit ribosomal RNA", at positions 524 to 776 of the family's 1533-position model. The record is from RNAcentral.
UACGAAGGGGGCGAGCGUUGUUCGGAUUUACUGGGCGUAAAGGGCGCGCAGGCGGCCAUUAUUUGUCGAGUGUGAAAGCCCCGGGCUUAACCUGGGAACUGCGCUCGAAACGGGAUGGCUAGAGAUCGGGAGAGGAGCGUGGAAUUCCCAGUGUAGAGGUGAAAUGCGUAGAUAUUGGGAAGAACACCGGUGGCGAAGGCGGCGCUCUGGACCGAGACUGACGCUGAGGCGCGAAAGCGUGGGGAGCAAACAGG